RNAcentral lists this ribosomal RNA (838 nucleotides) under uncultured soil archaeon. RNAcentral's name for it is "bacterial SSU rRNA". It matches the Rfam family "Archaeal small subunit ribosomal RNA", at positions 21 to 859 of the family's 1478-position model. The record is from RNAcentral.
AGGUUACUGCUAUCGUUGUUCGCGUAAGCCAUGCGAGUCAUAUGUUUUUCGUGAACAUGGCGUACUGCUCAGUAACACGUGGAUACCUGCCCUUGGGUCCGGCAUAACCCCGGGAAACUGGGAAUAAUUCCGGAUAACGCACAUAUGCUGGAAUGCUUUAUGCGUCAAAUGGAUUCGUCCGCCCAAGGAUGGGUCUGCGGCCUAUCAGGUAGUAGUGGGUGUAAUGUACCUACUAGCCUACGACGGGUACGGGUUGUGAGAGCAAGAGCCCGGAGAUGGAUUCUGAGACAUGAAUCCAGGCCCUACGGGGCGCAGCAGCCGCGAAAACUUUACAAUGCGGGAAACCGUGAUAAGGGGACACCGAGUGCCAGCAUCAUAUGCUGGCUGUCCGGGUGUGUAAAUUACACCUGUUAGCAAGGGCCGGGCAAGACCGGUGCCAGCCGCCGCGGUAACACCGGCGGCCCGAGUGGUGAUCGUGAUUAUUGGGUCUAAAGGGUCCGUAGCCGGUUUGGUCAGUCCUCCGGGAAAUCUGACGGCUUAACCGUUAGGCUUUCGGGGGAUACUGCCAGACUUGGAACCGGGAGAGGUAAGAGGUACUACAGGGGUAGGAGUGAAAUCUUGUAAUCCCUGUGGGACCACCUGUGGCGAAGGCGUCUUACCAGAACGGGUUCGACGGUGGGGGACGAAAGCUGGGGGCACGAACCGGAUUAGAUACCCGGGUAGUCCCAGCCGUAAACGAUGCUCGCUAGGUGUCAGGCAUGGCGCGACCGUGUCUGGUGCCGCAGGGAAGCCGUGAAGCGAGCCACCUGGGAAGUACGGCCGCAAGGCUGAAACUUAA